This 70-nucleotide transfer RNA is filed under the name Campylobacter lari subsp. concheus LMG 11760. RNAcentral's name for it is "tRNA-Sup (TCA) (tRNA-Sup-TCA-1-1)". Lineage: Bacteria; Pseudomonadati; Campylobacterota; Epsilonproteobacteria; Campylobacterales; Campylobacteraceae. RNAcentral also lists the same sequence under 5 other names. The record is from RNAcentral.
GGAAGGUGAGUUUGGCUAGAUGAAAUUUUCACAUUUUUGGACAGGGGUUCAAUUCCCCUCGUCUCCACCA